AUUUUUAGCAUGAUACUUCUUUGCAGAUACAAAUGAGUAAUUAUCAAUUGAUAUUUAACAUCACAUUUGGUAGUGGAAGAUUUAGUAAAAUAAGUACUGCCAGGUUAGAGUUUGGUGCCAGGGUCGUUGCUGGGUGCGUGGCUACUGCUCCUUCGGAUUCGGUUACUGUCUCAGGUGGCAUAUUUGCUGACUAACCUCUUACUGAUAAAUGACAAUGCCUUCUUCAUGCACGACUCUACAUGGUCGAUUGACGUCGAGAAUCAUUUGCUUCAGCCCUGAUGACCAGUUAUCUAGAUGGCAAGAUGUUUCGAUGAAGUUUAUAUUGCUAUGCCAUAUUAAAAUAGUGCUCUUAGAUUGGCUCAAACUACUAUACUAUGUCCUGCUUGUGUUAUGUCGUACUAAACCAUCUCGAUUCUCUUGGUAGUUUCGGCUGCAUUUUCUACCACUCCCCAAACUAAUUUAAAGGAAACAUACAUGAGUUGC
Long non-coding RNA from Triticum dicoccoides, 483 nucleotides. RefSeq lists it as uncharacterized. The record is from RefSeq and is a predicted model, not a curated record. The transcript is spliced from 3 exons. Lineage: Eukaryota; Viridiplantae; Streptophyta; Magnoliopsida; Poales; Poaceae.